CGAUGCAAAGAAUUGUUUACAAGCUAGAGGCUUCAUGAGUAAGAUAAGUGUAAAUCGCUGCUGCUGCUGCUGCGAUUGCUGUUGCUGUGAUGGCACAGGCAUUCUCUUCAUUUUCCUUAAGUCUGCCGAAUGUUGACAGAUCAGCGAAGACUACCGCGGUGAGGAAGAUGAGGAUUGACCACGGAGCCUCUUAGGAAUGCAACGGCGUUGGUCGCUGGCCAAAGGGUGAAGCUUCACUUUUCUCAGCGACGUUGGUCGCUGGCCGAAGGCAAGAGCGAAGCUUCGCUUUUCUCAACGACGUUGGUCGUGGUUGCGAUUACAACGGCUGCGACGGUAGAGAAGAAAUCUACAGCAAUGUUGCAGUGAUGCUACUACAGCAAAGGAGGAAACUGCAACAGAGGAGGAAGUUGUAGCAGAAGAGGAAGCUGUAGCAGAAGAGGAAGGAAAAUAGUUAUAACGAGGAAGAAAGGUGGGGCAGUGCUGAUGAGCAGCACUAGAGAUGCCGUAGCGGAAGGGAAUGGACGUUGGCACAGAGUGGCAACACCAAUGAUGAAUUGGCAGCGAGAAG
This 568-nucleotide long non-coding RNA is filed under the name Musa acuminata (dwarf banana). RNAcentral describes it as "long non-coding RNA (MACU_LNC000544)". The record is from RNAcentral. Lineage: Eukaryota; Viridiplantae; Streptophyta; Magnoliopsida; Zingiberales; Musaceae.